GAUGAACGCUAGCGAUAGGCUUAACACAUGCAAGUCGCGGGGCAGCACAAGGUAGCUUGCUCUCUGGGUGGCGACCGGCGCACGGGUGCGUAACGCGUAUGCAACUUGCCCUAUACAGGAGGAUAACCCGUCGAAAGACGGACUAAUACUGCGUAUGCUCACAACUUGGCAUCAAGUGGUGAGGAAAGAAAUUCGGUAUAGGAUAGGCAUGCGUCCCAUUAGCUUGUUGGUGAGGUAACGGCUCACCAAGGCAACGAUGGGUAGGGGAACUGAGAGGUUUAUCCCCCACACUGGUACUGAGACACGGACCAGACUCCUACGGGAGGCAGCAGUGAGGAAUAUUGGUCAAUGGGCGCGAGCCUGAACCAGCCAAGUCGCGUGAAGGAUGACUGUCUUAUGGAUUGUAAACUUCUUUUAGACGGGAAUAACAAGAGUCACGUGUGACUCCCUGCAUGUACCGUAUGAAUAAGCAUCGGCUAACUCCGUG
Molecule: ribosomal RNA, 487 nt
Filed under: uncultured bacterium
Lineage: Bacteria
Description: partial 16S ribosomal RNA
Rfam family: Bacterial small subunit ribosomal RNA
Source: RNAcentral